Molecule: long non-coding RNA, 647 nt
Filed under: Zea mays
Lineage: Eukaryota; Viridiplantae; Streptophyta; Magnoliopsida; Poales; Poaceae
Description: long non-coding RNA NONZMAT001838
Source: RNAcentral
CCUUGGCCCAGUUACUCUCCCUAUUUAAUACCACUCCCAACCCCUGAUUAGGGUAUGGGUUCCUAUUCUAACAUUAAGUUUAGUGUUUCUCUAGGGUUUCUUUUUGGAUAUACUUAAGGGCUUUGUACUUUCAUCUAUUUCUCCCCAAAGUUUCCCUUUUCUUUCUAUUGCUUCCUAUUAAGCCUUUUUGAACCAUCAGGGUUUGUUAACAUUUUCCAAAAAUGUUAUAAAAAUUACAGUGGGUAAAUAUUGACAUUUGUGGGUUCUCAUAAAAAAUUGAGGUGGAGAUUAAUUCAGAUACUACUUGUGUAAAAUUAACAAAAACAAGUGUAAAAGGGCAUUUUACACUAUAGCGAUGAUUUAAGUGAGGUUUCUGUACCAAUUUUUAUUUUUGUCCAGAUUCAUAGGUGAUAUUAGGCCUCUGUGUUAAAAAUCACAGAAAAAGACCUAUUGGAUAUUUAGUUGUGAUUUUCUAAAGUUUAAUGCCAAAAAGGUACUUAUAACUAACUUGUUAUUUGAAAAAUAUCAAACAACAUAACUCAUAUUCUUCCUACAUUCAUAAUAACAAAAUAUUAGUUAUCCCAUGGUUUGGGUGUUUUCUCCUCAGGAUUAUUUUUCUAAGAUUUUCUUAAGUUUUCAUUGUUUGC